UUAAGAUUAGGAUUAGGAUUUUAGAUUUGAUUAAAGGAUUGGUUAGGAUUAGGAUUUGCUUUAGGUUAGGAUUUGGUUAAGAUUUAUCUAGGAUUUGAUUAGGAUUUAUUUAGGAUUUGUCUAGAAUUUGAUUAAGAUUUAUUUAGGAUUUGGUUAAGAUUUGCUUAAGAUAUGAUUAGGAUUUGAUUAGAAUUUGAUUAAAGUUUGAUUAGAAUUUGUUUAGAGUUUGGUUAGGACUUAUUUAAGAAUUGUCUAGGAUUUGAGUAGGAUUUAUUUAGGAUUUGAUUAGGAUUUGGUUAGAGUUUAUUUAGGAUUUGAUUAGGAUUUGAUUAGGAUUUGACUAAGAUUUGAUUAAACUUUCUUUAGAAUUUGUUUAAGACUUAUUUAGAAGUUGACUACAAUUUGAUAAAUAUUUGAUCAAGAUUUGACUAAGAUUUGAUUAAAGUUUGACUUAUUUUUGACUGGGAUUUAAUUAAGAUUUUUAUUUUAAUAUUUUAUUAAGAUUUUUAUUUUAGUAUAUAUUUUUUUGAAU
Molecule: long non-coding RNA, 532 nt
Filed under: Physcomitrium patens
Lineage: Eukaryota; Viridiplantae; Streptophyta; Bryopsida; Funariales; Funariaceae
Description: long non-coding RNA (PPAT_LNC010816)
Source: RNAcentral